AUCGAGCUGUGUCUGCUUCACUGGAGCCUCUCCUGCAGAGAGGGCAGGAGGGCAGGAGAGCAGGGGGACCCCUCCUAGAGGCCCCCAAGGGCUGGGCCUAAGCAGACACCCCACAGCUAACUGCUGAACUCACCCAUCCCCUGGCCUCGAGCAGGCACCCACUCUGGGCCCUGCCUGUGCCGGGCGCCGGGACACACAGAUAAGCACACACAGGGCACCCGAGCUCCCUCAGCAAGUCCAGGUGAGCAAACGCAGAUGGCCAGCAGAAAGGGGAGCUCCUUUGGAGGACCAAGUGCCAGGAGAGGUCAGAGGAGCAAGCCUGAGCCACGAUGGGAAGUCCCCAUGCAACACUGGCUGCACCUCGCAGGAGGAGAGAGGUGGAGAGGGCAUGGCAUGAAGCCAAGCCUGGAAUACACGGCCCCGGGGCAGUACAGGCCCCGGCAACUGGCUGGUAGUGAGUGAGUUCUGGCUCUAAGAGUUCAUGCAAGAGCUGAUUGUUUAAAGAGGCUGGCACCUCCUCCUCCCUCUCUUGCCACGUGAGACCCCGCUGCCCCUUGGCCUUCUGCCAUGAUUGAAAGCUUCCUGAGGCCCCACUGGAAGCAGAUGCUGACACCGUUGCUUCGUGUACAGUCUGUAGAACUAUGAGACAAAUAAACUGCUUUGUAAAUA
Molecule: long non-coding RNA, 669 nt
Organism: Homo sapiens (human)
Lineage: Eukaryota; Metazoa; Chordata; Mammalia; Primates; Hominidae
Exons: 2
Source: RefSeq, a predicted model, not a curated record